GACGAACGCUGGCGGCGUGCUUAACACAUGCAAGUCGAACGGGCCUGUCUUCUUUUUUGGGGGGUGGGUUGAGUGGCGAACGGGUGAGUAUCACGUGAGUAACCUGCCCUUCGGUCCUGGAUAACCGCUUGAAAGGGCGGCUAAUACGGGGUGGUCCGGUUGGUCCGCAUGGGCUGGUCGGGAUAGAUUCACUGUUUUUGGUGUUUCGGCGGGGGAUGGGCUCGCGGCCUAUCAGCUUGUUGGUGGGGUGAUGGCCUACCAAGGCGGUGACGGGUAGCCGGCCGGAGAGGGUGAGCGGCGACACUGGGACUGGGAUACGGCCCAGACUCCUGCGGGAGGCAGCAGUGGGGGGUAGUGCACAAUGGGCGGAAGCCUGAUGCAGCGACGUCGCGUGAGGGAUGGAGGCCUUCGGGUUGUGAACCUCUGUUUCCGGUGGUGAAGGCCCUGUCCGUGUGGUGGGGUUGACGGUAGCCGGGGAUGAAGCGCCGGCUAACUACGUG
This 500-nucleotide ribosomal RNA is filed under the name uncultured bacterium. Its description in RNAcentral is "partial 16S ribosomal RNA". It matches the Rfam family "Bacterial small subunit ribosomal RNA", at positions 28 to 507 of the family's 1533-position model. The record is from RNAcentral.